Molecule: small RNA, 250 nt
Filed under: Gorilla gorilla gorilla (western lowland gorilla)
Lineage: Eukaryota; Metazoa; Chordata; Mammalia; Primates; Hominidae
Description: Metazoan signal recognition particle RNA (ENSGGOG00000038917.1)
Source: RNAcentral
GCCAGGCGUGGUGGCUCACGCCUGUAAUCCCAGCACUUUCGGAGGCUGAGGUGGGUGGAUCACGUGAGGUCAGGAGUUCAAGACCAGCCUGGCCAACAUGGUGAAACUCUGUCUCUACUAAAAAUACAAAAAAUUAGCUGGUUGUGGUGGUGGACGCCUGUAAUCCCAGCACUUUGGGAGGCAGGGGCGGGCAAAUCACAAGGUCAGGAGUUCAAGACUAGCCUGGCCAACAUGGUGAAACCCCGUCUCU